AUCCCAGACUCCUACGGGAGGCAGCAGUGGGGGAUAUUGCACAAUGGGGGGAACCCUGAUGCAGCGACGCCGCGUGGGUGAAGAAGCGCCUCGGCGCGUAAAGCCCUGUCAGCAGGGAAGAAAAUGACGGUACCUGAAGAAGAAGCCCCGGCUAACUACGUGCCAGCAGCCGCGGUAAUACGUAGGGGGCAAGCGUUAUCCGGAUUUACUGGGUGUAAAGGGAGCGCAGGCGGCGCGCCAAGUCUGAUGUGAAACCCCGGGGCUCAACCCCGGGCAUGCAUUGGAAACUGGCGGGCUGGAGUGCCGGAGAGGUAAGCGGAAUUCCUAGUGUAGCGGUGAAAUGCGUAGAUAUUAGGAGGAACACCAGUGGCGAAGGCGGCUUACUGGACGGCAACUGACGCUGAGGCUCGAAAGCGUGGGGAGCAAACAGGAUUAGAUACCCGGGUAGC
This 449-nucleotide ribosomal RNA is filed under the name uncultured bacterium. RNAcentral's name for it is "partial 16S ribosomal RNA". It matches the Rfam family "Bacterial small subunit ribosomal RNA", at positions 328 to 794 of the family's 1533-position model. The record is from RNAcentral.